RNAcentral lists this long non-coding RNA (1032 nucleotides) under Pavo cristatus (Indian peafowl). Its description in RNAcentral is "lncRNA (ENSPSTG00000009307.1)". Lineage: Eukaryota; Metazoa; Chordata; Aves; Galliformes; Phasianidae. The record is from RNAcentral.
AUGAGCAGCCCUGCACCCAUCCAUUCAACUUUCAGCACCUUUGCUGUAGGCAGGAUCCCACUGUGUCACCCCCACGAGGGGUUUGGCACCAUCAGCUCCUCCAUCACAGCGAGACAGACAGUGCUGAGCCUGGGAGGACAGCAAACAUGUACAAAGAAAAAGAAAACAAUUAAAAGACACAAGACAAAAGGAUCUGUUGGAUGGCAACCAGUGCAUCUGGGGAAACAUCUUUGUUUUAGAGAGGGAAGAGAGAGAAGGAAAAGAGAGGAAAAAUGCAUCCGGGGCGGGACUGCUGCUUGCCUGUGUGCGCACACAGGGAACACAGAACAGCUCUGUGCAUUUGUGAUACUAAGAGCAUGGCAGGCCUGUCACCAGUGGCUGCUCAACCCUCACUCCCUUCCGAGGUGUUGUGUUCCCAUGCCUGCAGGCAGCGCUUCGUCCUUUUCUCUCUUCCCCACCAUCUGCUGUCGCAAAUUCCCCGAGCAUCGCCUGCCCCGGCAUAGAGUUUCAGCCCAUGGCGGAAAACAAGAGGGAGAGAAAUCCAACCCGAGCCCCAACCCCAGCCCCAACCCUGUGCCCAUGUGCUGCUGCAUGUCUGGCCACUGCCCCCAGGGAGCGGCGGGUGCUGGAGACACCUCUGGGUGCCAGUGCUCCUUGUGGGUGCUGGGGGGUCCUUAUGCUGUGCUGGGCAGGUGUGGGAUGGGAAUGCAGGGCCAAGGACAUAGUAGGAUCCUCUUCCCUUGUAUGGCCAGGACCAGCGGCACAUUCCCGGCUAACCCCACUGUUUCAAAUUACAAAGCUGCCCCGAUCCCACCGAGCCACCUCAGAUCUCAGGAGAGAGCCGUCAGCUCUUUGAAAUCCAGGCUGGAGCGUUGCCAGCAGGCAGUGCUCACAGCAACAGCUGGGCUCCUUCCCGGUGGGACACGUGGCCCAACCCGGCAUCAGGGGCAGAAACAUGGGCUUGGGACAAGGGAAGAGGGCUCUGGAAACUGCGGCCCUGCCAGCACGUCUUGCAUCAUGUCCUGCCAUUAG